AUUGAACGCUGGCGGCAGGCUUAACACAUGCAAGUCGAGCGGGGUGAUGGUGCUUGCACUAUCACUUAGCGGCGGACGGGUGAGUAAUGCUUAGGAAUCUGCCUAUUAGUGGGGGACAACAUCUCGAAAGGGAUGCUAAUACCGCAUACGUCCUACGGGAGAAAGCAGGGGAUCACUUGUGACCUUGCGCUAAUAGAUGAGCCUAAGUCGGAUUAGCUAGUUGGUGGGGUAAAGGACUACCAAGGCGACGAUCUGUAGCGGGUCUGAGAGGAUGAUCCACCACACUGGGAAUGAGACACGGCCCAGACUCCUACGGGAGGCAGCAGUGGGGAAUAUUGGACAAUGGGGGGAACCCUGAUCCAGCCAUGCCGCGUGUGUGAAGAAGGCCUUAUGGUUGUAAAGCACUUUAAGCGAGGAGGAGGCUCUUUUGGUUAAUACCCAAGAUGAGUGGACGUUACUCGCAGAAUAAGCACCGGCUAACUCUGUGCCAGCCGCCGCAGUAA
RNAcentral lists this ribosomal RNA (503 nucleotides) under uncultured bacterium. RNAcentral's name for it is "partial 16S ribosomal RNA". It matches the Rfam family "Bacterial small subunit ribosomal RNA", at positions 30 to 523 of the family's 1533-position model. The record is from RNAcentral.